This is a non-coding RNA of Cucumis melo (muskmelon), 83 nucleotides long. The record is from Rfam. Lineage: Eukaryota; Viridiplantae; Streptophyta; Magnoliopsida; Cucurbitales; Cucurbitaceae.
GGCCGAUGAUGUAGAAAAUUUGUCCGUACCAUCUGAGAUGCAUUUCGAUGGAGUACACAAUCAAUCUUUACGUUCUGAGGCCU